CCCUUAGAUGUCCUGGGCUGCACGCGCGCUACACUGAUGUGACCAGUAAGCACCUAACCUCUUCCGAAAGGAACGGGUAACCUUUGCAAAGCACAUCGUGAUGGGGAUAGAUUAUUGCAAUUAUUAGUCUUGAACGAGGAAUUCCUAGUAAGCACAAGUCAUCAGCUUGCGUUGAUUACGUCCCCGCCCUUUGUACACACCGCCCGUCGCUCCUACCGAUUGAAUGUUCCGGUGAGCUCUUCGGACUGCGCGGUCUGCAGUUUCUGCGUUCCGUGCGGAAAGUUGCGCAAACCUUAACAUUUAGAGGAAGGAGAAGUCGUAACA
RNAcentral lists this ribosomal RNA (324 nucleotides) under uncultured eukaryote. Its description in RNAcentral is "partial 18S ribosomal RNA". It matches the Rfam family "Eukaryotic small subunit ribosomal RNA", at positions 1470 to 1796 of the family's 1831-position model. The record is from RNAcentral.